UACGUAGGGGGCUAGCGCUGUCCGGAAUCAUUGGGCGUAAAGCGCGCGUAGGCGGCCAGAUAAGUCCGGUGUGAAAGUCACAGGCUCAACCUGUGAAUGCCGCUGGAAACUGUCUGGCUAGAGUCCGGAAGGGGCGAGUGGAAUUCCUGGUGUAGCGGUGGAAUGCGCAGAUAUCAGGAGGAACACCAAUAGCGAAGGCAGCUCGCUGGGACGGUACUGACGCUAAGGCGCGAAAGCGUGGGGAGCGAACAGG
RNAcentral lists this ribosomal RNA (253 nucleotides) under uncultured bacterium. RNAcentral describes it as "partial 16S ribosomal RNA". It matches the Rfam family "Bacterial small subunit ribosomal RNA", at positions 524 to 776 of the family's 1533-position model. The record is from RNAcentral.